CCUACGGGAGGCAGCAGUGGGGAAUAUUGCGCAAUGGGCGAAAGCCUGACGCAGCGACGCCGCGUGAGGGAUGAAGGUCUUCGGAACGUAAACCUCUGUCAGCAGGGAAGAAAGGUAACUGUGCUAAUCAGCAGUGAAUUGACGGUACCUGCAAAGGAAGCACCGGCUAACGCCGGGCCAGCAGCCGCGGUAGUACGGAGGGUGCGAGCGUUAAUCGGAUUGACUGGGCGUAAAGCGCUCGUAGGCGGCAUGUCAAGUCAAGGGUGAAAUCCCCGGGCUAAACGUGGGAACUGCCUUUGAAACUGGCAGACUGGAGUGAAGGAGAGGUUAGUGGAAUUCCAGGUGUAGGAGUGAAAUCCGUAGAUAUCUGGAGGAACAUCAGUGGCGAAGGCGACUAACUGGCACAUAACUGACGCUGAGGAGCGAAAGCGUGGGUAGCAAACAGGAUUAGAUACCCGAGUAGUC
This 465-nucleotide ribosomal RNA is filed under the name uncultured bacterium. Its description in RNAcentral is "partial 16S ribosomal RNA". It matches the Rfam family "Bacterial small subunit ribosomal RNA", at positions 338 to 795 of the family's 1533-position model. The record is from RNAcentral.